This 1256-nucleotide ribosomal RNA is filed under the name Comamonadaceae bacterium BIN2. RNAcentral's name for it is "bacterial LSU rRNA". It matches the Rfam family "Bacterial large subunit ribosomal RNA", at positions 1229 to 2478 of the family's 2925-position model. Lineage: Bacteria; Pseudomonadati; Pseudomonadota; Betaproteobacteria; Burkholderiales; Comamonadaceae. The record is from RNAcentral.
UAGGAGAGCGUUCUGUAGGCCUGCGAAGGUGUCUCGUGAGGGAUGCUGGAGGUAUCAGAAGUGCGAAUGCUGACAUGAGUAGCGAUAAAGGGAGUGAAAAGCUCCCUCGCCGAAAGCCCAAGGUUUCCUGCGCAACGUUCAUCGGCGCAGGGUGAGUCGGCCCCUAAGGUGAGGCAGAAAUGCGUAGCUGAUGGGAAAUCGGUUAAAAUUCCGAUACCUUUGUACAAUGCGAUGGGGGGACGGAGUAGGUUAGGUCAGCCGGGUGUUGGACGUCCCGGUUUAAGCGAGUAGGCUGGUCCUUUAGGCAAAUCCGGAGGGCUAAGGCUGAGACGUGAUGACGAGCGCUCUUUGAGCGCGAAGUGAUUGAUACCAUGCUUCCAAGAAAAGCCUCUAAGCUUCAGUUGUAUGAAGACCGUACCGCAAACCGACACAGGUGGGCAGGAUGAGAAUUCUAAGGCGCUUGAGAGAACUCGGGUGAAGGAACUCGGCAAAUUUGCACCGUAACUUCGGGAGAAGGUGCGCCCCGGUAGGUUGUAGUCCCUCGCGGACGAAGGCCGAUGGGGUUGCAGUGAAAAGGUGGCUGCGACUGUUUAAUAAAAACACAGCACUCUGCAAACACGAAAGUGGACGUAUAGGGUGUGACGCCUGCCCGGUGCUGGAAGGUUAAGUGAUGGGGUGCAAGCUCUUGAUCGAAGCCCCAGUAAACGGCGGCCGUAACUAUAACGGUCCUAAGGUAGCGAAAUUCCUUGUCGGGUAAGUUCCGACCCGCACGAAUGGCGUAACGAUGGCCACACUGUCUCCUCCUGAGACUCAGCGAAGUUGAAAUGUUUGUGAAGAUGCAAUCUACCCGCUGCUAGACGGAAAGACCCCGUGAACCUUUACUGUAGCUUUGCAUUGGACUUUGAACAGGCUUGUGUAGGAUAGGUGGGAGGCUAUGAAGUACGGUCGCUAGAUCGUAUGGAGCCGUCCUUGAAAUACCACCCUGGUGUGUUUGAGGUUCUAACCUUGGUCCGUGAUCCGGAUCGGGAACAGUGCAUGGUAGGCAGUUUGACUGGGGCGGUCUCCUCCCAAAGUGUAACGGAGGAGUUCGAAGGUUACCUAGGUACGGUCGGAAAUCGUGCUGAUAGUGCAAUGGCAAAAGGUAGCUUAACUGCGAGACCGACAAGUCGAGCAGGUGCGAAAGCAGGACAUAGUGAUCCGGUGGUUCUGUAUGGAAGGGCCAUCGCUCAACGGAUAAAAGGUACUCUGGGGAUAAC